RNAcentral lists this long non-coding RNA (284 nucleotides) under Hordeum vulgare. Its description in RNAcentral is "long non-coding RNA (HVUL_LNC007102)". Lineage: Eukaryota; Viridiplantae; Streptophyta; Magnoliopsida; Poales; Poaceae. The record is from RNAcentral.
CCGGUAACUACCAAAAAGAAUCAAACAACUAAUAAACACCAACAACAAAUGAUGCAACACACAAUAUGACGCAUGUAUGCACUCCUCCAAACAAACACAUAAAUGAACCCUACAUCAAUGAAACUAUUGCCACCUCACCAGAAGGGGAUUUUCCAUAGAGAUUCCCAAAAUAAGAAACCAUCCCAACCAUUAGAUUCAUUGGGAUUUUCUACCCAAAAUCAAUAUAUCAUACUGCCGCCUUUGCAUACAGAAAAACUCCACAAACAGUAAAAGAAUAAAAGCAC